RNAcentral lists this unclassified non-coding RNA (328 nucleotides) under uncultured fungus. RNAcentral's name for it is "partial contains 5.8S ribosomal RNA and internal transcribed spacer 2". The stretch from base 1 to 133 matches the Rfam family "5.8S ribosomal RNA", at positions 22 to 154 of the family's 154-position model. Lineage: Eukaryota; Fungi. The record is from RNAcentral.
UGGUUCUGGCAUCGAUGAAGAACGCAGCGAAAUGCGAUAAGUAAUGUGAAUUGCAGAAUUCAGUGAAUCAUCGAAUCUUUGAACGCACAUUGCGCCCUCUGGUAUUCCGGAGGGCAUGCCUGUUCGAGCGUCAUUUCAACCCUCAAGCCUGGCUUGGUGAUGGGGCACUGCUCUUGUAAGAGAGCAGGCCCUGAAAUCUAGUGGCGAGCUCGCCAGGACCCCGAGCGCAGUAGUUAAACCCUCGCUCUGGAAGGCCCUGGCGGUGCCCUGCCGUUAAACCCCCAACUCUUGAAAAUUUGACCUCGGAUCAGGUAGGAAUACCCGCUGA